UAACAUUCAACAAAACAGGGAAAAAAAACUCAGAUGAAAGUAAUCUUUACAAUCAAACGCCUUGUGGUAUAUUUGUAUAAGCAGUUCUUGUUCUGUUCCGCCUAUUAGCUGUAGUGUAACAGCUAUGGGAAGCUGUUUCUCCCAGAAAGGACACGAUAGUGUACCUUCAAAUGUACGAGAAGAGAAUGGAAAACCUAAAAAAGAACAUGAAAGCUCUACUGUUGAGAUGAUGUCGAUUGUCUUACCCAUUCCUUCUCGUCAACUUCAUCAGGAAGAUACAGGUCACCGUACAUGUGGAGGUUUUGAUAUAAAGACAAUUAGCAAAGUAUCUGAUGUAAAACUACUGGAUGAUCCUGUAGCUAAAGAAGUACCAGCAGCCCCCCCUCCUCCUGUGCAUCCAGUCUAAAAAUGAUUUUUUUAUGUGCCCGAAUCGAUAGGUCCGGGACGUAUAUUGUUUUUGCCCUGUCUAUCUGUUUGUCUGUCUACAAACUUUAACCUUCGACAUAACUUUUUAACCAUGAAAGAUAGAAACUCCAUACUUGGUAUGCAUACUCCACUAAUAAAGCUCUUUCAAAUGACACCAGGGUCAAUGACCUUGACUGUGACCUAUAUGUUAAAAAUAGCUUUUUUCUACAAACUUUAACCUUUACCAUAACUUUUGAACCAUGAAAGAUAUAAACUUU
This is a long non-coding RNA of Saccostrea cuccullata (small rock oyster), 683 nucleotides long. RefSeq lists it as uncharacterized. The transcript has 3 exons. The record is from RefSeq and is a predicted model, not a curated record. NCBI's taxonomy places the organism in Eukaryota, Metazoa, Mollusca, Bivalvia, Ostreida, Ostreidae.